CGACAAGUAGGGCGGGACACGAGAAAUCCUGUCUGAAUAUGGGGGGACCAUCCUCCAAGGCUAAAUACUCGUAAUCGACCGAUAGUGAACCAGUACCGUGAGGGAAAGGCGAAAAGAACCCCGGGAGGGGAGUGAAAUAGAUCCUGAAACCGUGUGCAUACAAACAGUAGGAGCGGACUUGUUCCGUGACUGCGUACCUUUUGUAUAAUGGGUCAGCGACUUACAUUCAGUGGCAAGGUUAACCAGAUCGGGAAGCCGUAGAGAAAUCGAGUCCGAACAGGGCGAUAGUCGCUGGGUGUAGACCCGAAACCAAGUGAUCUACUCAUGGCCAGGAUGAAGGUGCGGUAACACGCACUGGAGGUCCGAACCCACUAAUGUUGAAAAAUUAGGGGAUGAGCUGUGGGUAGGGGUGAAAGGCUAAACAAACUUGGAAAUAGCUGGUUCUCUCCGAAAACUAUUUAGGUAGUGCCUCAAGUAUCACCAUCGGGGGUAGAGCACUGUUAUGGCUAGGGGGUCAUCGCGACUUACCAAACCAUUGCAAACUCCGAAUACCGAUGAGUGCGAGCUUGGGAGACAGACGUCGGGUGCUAACGUCCGGCGUCAAGAGGGAAACAACCCAGACCGCCAGCUAAGGUCCCAAAGAUUGGCUAAGUGGAAAACGAAGUGGGAAGGCUAAAACAGUCAGGAUGUUGGCUUAGAAGCAGCCAUCAUUUAAAGAAAGCGUAAUAGCUCACUGAUCGAGUCGUCCUGCGCGGAAGAUGUAACGGGGCUAAGCCAGUCACCGAAGCUGCGGAUAUGCGUAAGCAUAUGGUAGGAGAGCGUUCUGUAAGCCUGCGAAGGUGUCUUGUAAAGGAUGCUGGAGGUAUCAGAAGUGCGAAUGCUGACAUGAGUAGCGAUAAUGGGGGUGAAAAGCCCCCACGCCGUAAGCCCAAGGUUUCCUGUUCAACGUUCAUCGGAGCAGGGUGAGUCGGCCCCUAAGGCGAGGCAGAGAUGCGUAGCUGAUGGGAAGCAGGUUAAUAUUCCUGCACCGUCGUAUGAUGCGAUGGGGGGACGGAUCGCGGAAGGUUGUCUGACUGUUGGAAUAGUCAGUUU
Molecule: ribosomal RNA, 1092 nt
Filed under: Duganella vulcania
Lineage: Bacteria; Pseudomonadati; Pseudomonadota; Betaproteobacteria; Burkholderiales; Oxalobacteraceae
Description: partial 23S ribosomal RNA
Rfam family: Bacterial large subunit ribosomal RNA
Source: RNAcentral